GGACCAGGAAGGAUAAAAUAUUGUGACACAAACUACAGUCAGAAAAAAAAAAAAAAAAAAAAGCUCAAGGCCCAAGAAUGGACAAGAAUAAUCAAGGAAAAGAGAGUGGAAACAGUGCUAUCUGUACAUAGUCAAACUCUGCUUCCUGUAGUUCUGCAUUACGGGAACAGAAGUUCAUUCUUUCUCAUAGUUCUCAAUAAAUCUCAUUAGUUCCUUACCUCUAGUUAGCUAUUCUCUACAAAAUAUGACAGACCACUUAUGUCAUCUGUCACUGCCUUAGCUUAAAAGCAGACAUCAGUGUCUGAGUCUUUGAUAGAGCGAUUCUUUUGCAUCCAGUUUGCAUGGACUUCAGAUUCUGUUGUUCACAUAAUCACAUAAACCACAACUUUCCCGGAGUUCUUAGAUACAUUUCAUAACUCAAAUACUUUAAGCCACAGUUCUGCCUUCCCCCUCCCCCCCCCCCCCAAAAAAACCUGAAUAUUUACCAUGGAAAUUCCCACAAUCAUAACCACUUUCUAAUCUGUUUUGUACAUUACUUUAAAUUACAUUAUCCAGCAAAUUUUCUCUGUGUGAAGCAAAGACAAUUGCCUGCUACAUUUCUUGUUAAGACACAUGAAAGAUGUAUCUUAUUGGGGCCAUAUUAAUGCAUCCUAGUAAAACUGUAAUAUAAUAUAAGAGAGUAAAGCUGAAAUAAUGAGAUCUGAGCCUGUCUAAGAUUUUCUACCAUAUAGGUAUGAUUACCAAAGUAGUUAACAGAGACUGCAGUAGUUUCUCAAUGAGUUUUAAAUAUCAGAUCAGGUAAAAAAAAAAAAAAAAAAAAAUCUUACAAAUCUUACAUGUGGAUAGAGUUGUUGGGGCAUUCUGAAUGCUUACAAUUCAGGAUUCUGUCAGCCAGGAAUAAGGAGUAUCCAGUCAAAUUUGUUGGCUUUUAUUUCCACAAUUUUACAACAGGACCUCUGAAUUCAAAAUCAUUAUCCAUGGCCCUCUGCUAAUGAUGAGUUCUCCUGUCUAAGGAGCUAUUAGUAUGAAAAUAAUCACCAAACAAAAACAGAAAACAAAACAAAAAAAAAAAAAAAAA
Molecule: long non-coding RNA, 1078 nt
Filed under: Strigops habroptila (Kakapo)
Lineage: Eukaryota; Metazoa; Chordata; Aves; Psittaciformes; Psittacidae
Description: lncRNA (ENSSHBG00005007586.1)
Source: RNAcentral